GAUGAACGCUGGCGGCGUGCCUAAUACAUGCCAGUCGAGCGAACGGACGAGAAGCUUGCUUCUCUGAUGUUAGCGGCGGACGGGUGAGUAACACGUGGAUAACCUACCUAUAAGGCUGGGAUAACUUCGGGAAACCGGAGCUAAUACCGGAUAAUAUUUUGAACCGCAUGGUUCAAAAGUGAAAGACGGUCUUGCUGUCACUUAUAGAUGGAUCCGCGCUGCAUUAGCUAGUUGGUAAGGUAACGGCUUACCAAGGCAACGAUGCAUAGCCGACCUGAGAGGGUGAUCGGCCACACUGGAACUGAGACACGGUCCAGACUCCUACGGGAGGCAGCAGUAGGGAAUCUUCCGCAAUGGGCGAAAGCCUGACGGAGCAACGCCGCGUGAGUGAUGAAGGUCUUCGGAUCGUAAAACUCUGUUACUAGGGAAGAACAUAUGUGUAAGUAACUGUGCACAUCUUGACGGUACCUAAUCAGAAAGCCACGGCUAACUACGUG
This 497-nucleotide ribosomal RNA is filed under the name uncultured bacterium. Its description in RNAcentral is "partial 16S ribosomal RNA". It matches the Rfam family "Bacterial small subunit ribosomal RNA", at positions 28 to 507 of the family's 1533-position model. The record is from RNAcentral.